Molecule: long non-coding RNA, 216 nt
Filed under: Brassica napus (rape)
Lineage: Eukaryota; Viridiplantae; Streptophyta; Magnoliopsida; Brassicales; Brassicaceae
Description: long non-coding RNA (BNAP_LNC000900)
Source: RNAcentral
UGGAUCAUAGUCGAUAUUAGGGCCUAUGAGUGUCAGGCACAACUGGUUAGUCUGCAUGUAACAGACUGCUCCUACAGUAGCCAUGAAGGCUCUCACAAGUAAUAGAGAAGAAUUCCAGUUAAGCUUAAUAUCCAGUGUUGAACAAAGUGAUCAAAUAGAGAAGGCUGCAUGAUAAUAGACUGAAGGUUUAAAGAAGCAUAGAAGAAUGGAGAGGAG